Musa acuminata AAA Group (dessert banana) is the source of this 3433-nucleotide long non-coding RNA. RefSeq lists it as uncharacterized. The record is from RefSeq and is a predicted model, not a curated record. The transcript has 2 exons. Lineage: Eukaryota; Viridiplantae; Streptophyta; Magnoliopsida; Zingiberales; Musaceae.
UUCAAUGAUUGAUUGAAGGUCGUGUUACCAUCUAUUAAGGAUCAAGGAGGAGAAUAUUUCGAUCACUUUUGGAUAAUUGUGUAAAUGUAUUGUAUUGAUGAAAUUAUUUGAGAGGACUAAAUUUAGAGGAAACAAAGAAAUCAUAAUCCUCAUCUUCUCAUCGAUUGAACUAUGAUCAAUUUAGAGGACUAAAUUUUCUUUUAAGGGGGGGAGAGUGUAAUAUCCCUCACUUUUGAAAAUUUAUUAAUAAAGAUUUAUAUAUAAAUUGGAGGACUUAUAUGUAAAUAUAGAAAUUUUAAGGACUAAAUUGUAAGUUGCAAAAAGAAAAAAAAUAAAGAAAACCAAAAAUUUCGAUUUUAUCCCACCGACUCCCACGCUCUCUGUUUCUUUCGAGAAACAGAGAGAAGAGCGGUGGGGUGUGGGGAGACGAAGAGAAGAGUAGUUGAGGGAGAAGAGAAGAAAAGAAGAAGAAGAGGGAAAAGAAGAGAGGAGGAAGAAGAGAGGAAGAAGAGGGAGAAGAGAAGAAAAGAAGAAGAAGAAGAGAGGGAAGAGGGAGAGGAAAGAGAGAUAGCUGCAGCAGCUAGGGCUGCAGCACUUCUAUUUCGUGUAGGAGGAAAUAGAGGAGUUCAUGUGUGGGGCGUCGGGGAGGAGAAGGGAAGAAGAGGAGAAGAAGAGAAGCAGAGGAAGAGAAGAAGAAGAAGAAGAAGAAGAAGAAGAAGAAUAGAGAAGGUGGCUACGGUAAGAGCUGCAGCGAGGAUCUGUGGGGCGUUGGGGAGGAGAAAGGAAGAAGAAGAGAAGAAGAAAAGAAGAAGAAGAGGGAAAAGAAGAGAGGAGGAAGAAGAGGGAGAAGAGAAGAAAAGAAGAAGAAAAAAAGAGAGGGAAGUGGGAGAGGAGCGAGAGGUGGCAGCAGCUAGGGCUGCAGCACCUCUGUUUCCUGCAGGCGGAAACAGAGGAGACGAGGUGUGAGGUGUUGGGGAUAAGAAGAAGAAGAAGAGGAUGGCUGCGGCAUGGGCUACAGUGAGAAGGUGUGGGGCGUCGGGUAGGAGAAGGGAAGAAGAGGAGAAGAAGAAGGAGAAGGAGAAGAAGAAGAAGAGGAAGAGAAGAAGUAGAAGCGAGUGAAGAGGCGACACCUCUGUUUCCUGCAGGAGGAAACAGAGGAAAGGAGGUGCUGUUCGUCGGGGAGAAGAAGGGGAGGAAGGAGAAGAAGAGAAGAAGAAGAAAGGAAGGAGAAGGAAGAUGAGAAGGGAAAGAAGUCGCUGCGGCUGCGGCUGUGGCAGCUGCAGCUGUGGCAGGGAAAGAGGAAGAGGAAGGAAGAAGGGAAGAAGAGAGGAAGAGAAGAAGUAGAAGCGGGUGAAGAGGUGGCACCUCUGUUUCCUGCAAGAGGAAACAGAGGAAAGGAGGUGCUGUUUGUCGGGGAGAAGAAGGGGAGGAAGGAGAAGAAGAGAAGAAGAAGAAAGGAAGGAGAAAGAAGAGGAGAAGGGAAAGAAGUAGCUGCGGCUGGGGCAGCUACAGCUGUGGCAGGGAAAUAGGUAGAGGUAGAAAGAAGGGAAGGAGAGGAAGAAGCAAAGGGGAAGAAGGGGCUGCGGCUGCGGCGAUAGCAGCUGCAGUUGGAAGAGAAGAAGGAGAGGAAGAUGAGCAGGGGAGGAAGAAGAGGUUGCAGCCGUGGCUGAGGCUGCGACUGCAGCAGUGCAGCUGGGAAAGAAGAGAAGGAAAGGAAGAAGAAGAGAAAGGAAAAGGGAAGAAGAGAGGAAGAGGAGAAGGGGAGGCAGCUACGGCAGUGGCAGCUGCAACUAGAAGAGAAGGAGAGGAAACAAAGUAGGGGAGGAAGAAGAGGCUGCGGGUGUGGUGGCUGCGGCCGUGGCAGCGACUGCGGCUGCGGCUGCGACGUUGGCUGUGGUAGCUGCGGCAGCGAUGGUGGCUGUAGUAGCUACUUUUGGGAAAGAGAAAGAAAGAAAAAGGGGAAAAAAAAAGGGGGGUCGUGGCCGUGAUUGCGGCUGCGGUGGUGGCGGCUGCGUCAGCGACAGUUGUGUUUGGGGAAAGAAAGUGUAGGAACGAGAGAAGGGAGGAAGGAAAUAGUGCGGUGGAAGGGGCUGCGACUGUGGCAGCGACAACGGCGGUGGCUGUGGUAGCUGCGUUUGGGAAAAAAAAGAAGGAAUGAGAUUAAGAGAGAGCAGGUGACAGUGCCUCGAUAUUCAACACGUGGUGUAGUUGCGAAGAAAGAAAGAAAACGAGAGCACAAAACGAAACAGAGAGAGGAUACGAAGGAAAAGUAGAAGGAUUUGGGCUGGCACCUUCUUUGGAUCUUCGGAUCGAAAUCUUUGAAAGGCAAGUUUCCCGAUCGUUUCUCCUGUUAUUGUUCUAAUCUUUCCUAUUGCAAGUGUCCUGAUCUUUCCUGAUUACAAUUUUAUCUCUACAUUUGCUUUGAAUAUGAGGAACAUUGAAUUGUUCUAGCCUUGCAUUUGAUAUAUCUCUUGUUUAGACGUAACGAUUCGAAUCUGUGCAACUUCUGAGAUUCUGACCUUUCUACCUUGUUAUGGUUAUAACUUCAUGUAUUGACAUCUGAUUUGGACAAAACUUAUUUGAUCAGAAUAUAGACUUAUAAACCUUUCUUUUGAUAGCUUUCUUGAGUAUAUUGGAGCACAAUUGAUGGUUUGAAUUAUUCGUUCAAUGUGCCUCUUGAAUUCUACUAGAAAUCGAGAUUUGGUCGAUUUCACAUAUUCUAGUUUCAUUCCUUUGGAAAUUAAUUUGCAUCGUAUUGACUCAUAAAGGCACAUGUACAUUUCGUUGUUCCGCAUGUACUUCCAAUAUGUCCCAAUUUAUUGUUACAAUACCCUUUUGUACUCUGGUGUUUGUGGGAUUAUUUGGACCUUUGCCAGAAAUGGUAAAGGAUAUGUGCUUAGAGCCUGCGAUGCUCUAGAUUAUGUUUGGUGGUCAUUCAGAAAUGGAUGGACCAUAUUAUGUUUGGAAUCCCACUUCACCUUCUAUCUGUUUGAUAUGAAAUUCAGAGCCGACCUAGCACUUGGGUAUGGUGAGAGGGCUCGAGUAGGAAAGGGCUACCCGUGGAUGGAGUCGAAAACUCAUCAUGGCGUGGAGCCACCACUGAGUUAAACCUCACAUGCAUUAUGCUAGGGUCAGAUUGUCACUCUUUGAGAUGUUUGAAUUGGGCUGAGGUAGUGGACAGUUAUUCUGAAUUAUGGGCAAGUCUUGUUGGUUAUUAUGUUAUUAUUGUAUAAGUAUAUUUUGUAUGAAAUGAAAUGUUGUCGAUGAAUCGAAAUGGAUAUACUGUGUAAAAGUGUUAGAAGAUGUCUCUUAUUUGAAAUUUCAGAAUGUUAAGUCUAAUUUAUGAUGAUAUGAACUUGUGGUGAAUAGUUGGAGUUCUGAUUGUAUAAUUUAUUUAGCUUAUGGAUUUAUAAAUGUUGUUCAUGUUUGUCAA